UGGCUCAGGAUGAACGCUGGCGGCGUGCCUAAUACAUGCAAGUCGAGCGAACUGAUUAGAAGCUUGCUUCUAUGACGUUAGCGGCGGACGGGUGAGUAACACGUGGGCAACCUGCCUGUAAGACUGGGAUAACUUCGGGAAACCGAAGCUAAUACCGGAUAGGAUCUUCUCCUUCAUGGGAGAUGAUUGAAAGAUGGUUUCGGCUAUCACUUACAGAUGGGCCCGCGGUGCAUUAGCUAGUUGGUGAGGUAACGGCUCACCAAGGCAACGAUGCAUAGCCGACCUGAGAGGGUGAUCGGCCACACUGGGACUGAGACACGGCCCAGACUCCUACGGGAGGCAGCAGUAGGGAAUCUUCCGCAAUGGACGAAAGUCUGACGGAGCAACGCCGCGUGAGUGAUGAAGGCUUUCGGGUCGUAAAACUCUGUUGUUAGGGAAGAACAAGUACGAAGAGUAACUGCUCUGUACCUUGACGGUACCUAACCAGAAAGCCACGGCUAACUAC
This 505-nucleotide ribosomal RNA is filed under the name Bacillus sp. 1115. Its description in RNAcentral is "bacterial SSU rRNA". It matches the Rfam family "Bacterial small subunit ribosomal RNA", at positions 20 to 504 of the family's 1533-position model. Lineage: Bacteria; Bacillati; Bacillota; Bacilli; Caryophanales; Bacillaceae. The record is from RNAcentral.